CUUGUAGGAAAACCUCUGAGUUUGAGCACCUCGUUUUGUAGAUUUUGUAGUGUUAUUGAUCUUCAACCAGAUAUGAAGGAGAGGAGAAAACAUGAAGGGGAAAGAGGAAGGUGGAAGUCUCUGGGAUUGAACCCUUACCACUAGGAUUACAUCCUGAAUCCAGGAUGCAACGCUACCACUAGACCAAACUCAAACUAGUCAUGGAACAAAUAAAGUUAUUUUACAGUUCAACCUGAUUACAUUAUUUUACAGUUCAACCUGACCAGACAUCCACAUGAUGGAGAAGCAAGAAUGAACACUCAAAUGAUCAACUAUACCAGGAAGUCCCAGAACCCCUCUCUGGAGAGACCAACCCUCCUCCCAGCAUCACCCCUCUUCCUGGUCCAGUCCAGUGUGUAGACAACCCCUCAGGUGAUCCUGGAGAGAUGGUCUAUGACACAGACACAUUUCCCAUCAGACAUCAGCCUCCUGGUCCAGUCCAGUGUGUAGACAACCCCUCAUCCGCCUCCUGUGAAGUGUAAAGUGUGACGGUUCAUCCUCCUAGAUCUAUCUGCUGCCUUACACACCAUGAACAAUCAGAUCCUCUCACGGUUGGGUGCCUCAGGCUCUGCACACUCUUGGCUUGCAGAUUGUAAAAUAAACAAACAUUUUUGCUAAAAUGACGAUUAUAUUAUUGAUUGAUUGA
Molecule: long non-coding RNA, 685 nt
Organism: Oncorhynchus kisutch (coho salmon)
Lineage: Eukaryota; Metazoa; Chordata; Actinopteri; Salmoniformes; Salmonidae
Exons: 4
Source: RefSeq, a predicted model, not a curated record